GAAAGCAUUUGGAUUUAUGGCAAGCCCAAUUCCCCUGGGCAUUUCAUAGUGCCCCAUGAACAAACUGUGGCCCCCAACCACAGCCUAGUCUAUGCCCAUAGGCUACUAGUACUGAAGUGUUUGCACAGAG
Small nucleolar RNA from Ictidomys tridecemlineatus (thirteen-lined ground squirrel), 130 nucleotides. The record is from Ensembl. Lineage: Eukaryota; Metazoa; Chordata; Mammalia; Rodentia; Sciuridae.